RNAcentral lists this long non-coding RNA (860 nucleotides) under Gallus gallus (chicken). Lineage: Eukaryota; Metazoa; Chordata; Aves; Galliformes; Phasianidae. The record is from RNAcentral.
GAAUUUUCUUUUUCUGGGUCUAGAUCCUUUAUUUUAGCAACUUCAUUCUCAAAUACAGUCUUGUAAGGGCAGUUGAAGUAUAAAAGAGGUCCAAGCUCCCUUUCAAAAGGUUCAUAUGUCACAGGAGGCACAGAUGCCAGAUCCUCUGGAGUAUAUUCAAUAUCAAAGCUUGGAUAUUUAAAUGUUUCACGUUCCAGAUCAGCAAUUCCAUCUUCAUCGCUUGAAAUCUGCUCAUAUCCAUCAUCUCCUUCACCCUCUUCCUCCUCUUCACCAUCUUCUUCAUCUUCAUCUUCCUCCUCCUCUUCCUCAUCUUCAUCGGGAAUACUCUCUACUGUGUGCCCAUCAUCAUCGUCCUCCUCCUCCUCCUCCUCAACAUCCACAUCCUCUUCAUCAUCUCCUUCUUCUGGUUGAUCUUCUUCCACUUCUCCUUCAUCAGAAUACUGGCUUUCUUGGUGAAUGGAUGUUCUGUCAGGAGAAAUGGGCUCAAAGUAAUCCUCCCUAUGGUCCACAUCAUCUUCUUUUUCUCCAACCACUGACACUGGCAUAGGUUCAUCCUCAUCAUCAUCAGGAGGAGGAGGGCCCGGAGGUGUCCUUGGUCCCCUAGGUUGUGGUCUUGGAGGACUGCCAUUGAACUGGUCUUCUUUCUCUCCAUCAACAUGCUUUGGGGUUCUUUUCAAACCAGGCUGUUGCUGGGGAGGAGGAGGCGGAGGUGGGGGUGGAGGAGGUGAUUCUCUGUCAUGAGUGAUUACUCUGUCAACUGAGCCAUAUAUUGCCAAAGUCAGACAAUUGUACCACCCCCUCAGAACCAAUCCAUCUGUGUUGACCUUUGCAUUGGGUCUGAAAAUAAUCGAAGUGUUUUC